Molecule: ribosomal RNA, 497 nt
Filed under: uncultured bacterium
Lineage: Bacteria
Description: partial 16S ribosomal RNA
Rfam family: Bacterial small subunit ribosomal RNA
Source: RNAcentral
GAUGAACGCUGGCGGCGUGCCUAAUACAUGCAAGUCGAGCGAACAGACGAGGAGCUUGCUCCUCUGACGUUAGCGGCGGACGGGUGAGUAAAACGUGGAUAACCUACCUAUAAGACUGGGAUAACUUCGGGAAACCGGAGCUAAUACCGGAUAAUAUAUUGAACCGCAUGGUUCAAUAGUGAAAGACGGUUUUGCUGUCACUUAUAGAUGGAUCCGCGCCGCAUUAGCUAGUUGGUAAGGUAACGGCUUACCAAGGCGACGAUGCGUAGCCGACCUGAGAGGGUGAUCGGCCACACUGGAACUGAGACACGGUCCAGACUCCUACGGGAGGCAGCAGUAGGGAAUCUUCCGCAAUGGGCGAAAGCCUGACGGAGCAACGCCGCGUGAGUGAUGAAGGUCUUCGGAUCGUAAAACUCUGUUAUUAGGGAAGAACAAAUGUGUAAGUAACUAUGCACGUCUUGACGGUACCUAAGCAGAAAGCCACGGCUAACUACGUG